This 1164-nucleotide long non-coding RNA is filed under the name Homo sapiens (human). RNAcentral describes it as "HSALNT0168188". The record is from RNAcentral. Lineage: Eukaryota; Metazoa; Chordata; Mammalia; Primates; Hominidae.
GAUUUAUCUGUAGCAUGUGAUGCUAUUUGAUAGCAUUUGACCAACAGUAAAACUUCUUUCAAAAUUAGAGCCAGUCCUCUCAAACCCUGCUGCAGCUUUGUCAAUUAAGUUCAUAUAAUAUUCAUAUAAAUCCUUUGUGGUCAUUUUGACAAUGUUCACAGCAUCCUUCACCAGGAGUAAAUCCCAUCUCAAACCAGUUUCUUUGCUGAUUCAUAAGAAGCAACUCCUCAUUCAUUCAAGUUUGAUCACAAGAUUGCAGCAAUUCAGUCAUAUCCUCAGGCCCUACUUCUAACUCCAGUUCUGUUUCUCUUUCCACCACAUCUGAGGUUACUUCCUCCACAGAAGUCUUGAAUCCCUCAAAGUCACCCAUGAGGAUUGAAAUCAACUUCUUUCAAACUUCUGAUUCGCUGUGCAGAUAUAAAAGAGACGCACGGAGAGGGUUCAGCCCAGCAUUUGGCUUGUGGAACUCAGAACAUCAACUGGAGUAGACAUUGUUGAGAACUUUAUAAGCCAUUUUCAGCUGAUAGCCACCCCAUGUAUGUGAAUGACACAGUCUGGCAUUGCUGAAUUCUGAUUCGUUGAGGUUUCUAAUAGGUCAGCUGAUAGUGAUGACCUGUAAGCUGUGAUAAUGGUUUUUGUAGUAACAUGAUGUUUCCCUUGCUUUGCAUCUAUAAAGUGUGUGUUUAUUAAAAAUCUUUUUUAUCAUAUAUGCAUCCAGAAAAAUGCACAAAUUAUAAAUGUCUAGUUUGAUGGAUUUUACUAAUUGAACAUAGGAAACCAGCACUCAAAUUUAAAAAAUGGAACAUCACUGUCUCAGAAGCUCCUCCUGCCCCUUCCUGACCCCCUUCCUGUCACUACUGCUUCCCUCCCCUAUCCUGACUCCUAGAAGCAUUAAGUUUACCUGCUUUUGUAUUUUAUGUAAAUGAAAUCAUAAAAUAAGUAUUCUUUUGUGUUUGGCUGCUUUUGCUUAAUUUAUGAUUGUGAAAUUCAUCCAUGUUGCUAUUAUUGGUUGUAAAACUUUUACUCUUGGUGCUGUACAACAUUUAAUAGUGUUACUAUCUCACUAUUUAUAUAUUCAUUCUGCUAUUGAUUGAUGUUUGGGCUAUUAAAAAUGGUGCUGUUGACAGACAUAUAGAACAAUGGAAUAAAAUAGGAAGCCCAAAA